UGUGAACCUUACCUCAGUUGCCUCGGCGGGAACGCCCCGGCCGCCUGCCCCCGCGCCGGCGCCGGACCCAGGCGCCCGCCGCAGGGACCCCAAACUCUCUUGCAUUACGCCCAGCGGGCGGAAUUUCUUCUCUGAGUUGCACAAGCAAAAACAAAUGAAUCAAAACUUUCAACAACGGAUCUCUUGGUUCUGGNAUCGAUGAAGAACGCAGCGAAAUGCGAUAAGUAAUGUGAAUUGCAGAAUUCAGUGAAUCAUCGAAUCUUUGAACGCACAUUGCGCCCGCCAGCAUUCUGGNGGGCAUGCCUGUUCGAGCGUCAUUUCAACCCUCGAGCCCCCCCCGGGGGCCUCGGUGUUGGGGGACGGCACACCAGCCGCCCCCGAAAUGCAGUGGCGACCCCGCCGCAGCCUCCCCUGCGUAGUAGCACACACCUCGCACCGGAGCGCGGAGGCGGUCACGUCGUAAAACGCCCAACUUUCUUAGAGUUGACCUCGGAUCAGGUAGGAAUACCCGCUGAACUUAAGCAUAUCAAUAAGCGGAGGAAAAGAAACCAACAGGGAUUGCCCCAGUAACGGCGAGUGAAGCGGCAACAGCUCAAAUUUGAAAUCUGGCCCCCAGGGCCCGAGUUGUAAUUUGCAGAGGAUGCUUUUGGCGCGGUGCCUUCCGAGUUCCCUGGAACGGGACGCCAUAGAGGGUGAGAGCCCCCGUCUGGUCGGACGCCUAGCCUGUGUAAAGCUCCUUCGACAAUCGAGUAGUUUGGGAAUGCUGCUCUAAAUGGGAGGUAUAUGUCUUCUAAAGC
RNAcentral lists this ribosomal RNA (797 nucleotides) under Ascomycota sp. UdeAM12C6. RNAcentral's name for it is "eukaryotic LSU rRNA". The stretch from base 485 to 797 matches the Rfam family "Eukaryotic large subunit ribosomal RNA", at positions 1 to 316 of the family's 3401-position model. Lineage: Eukaryota; Fungi; Ascomycota. The record is from RNAcentral.